AGUGAACGCUGGCGGUAGGCCUAACACAUGCAAGUCGAACGGCAGCACAGUAAGAGCUUGCUCUUACGGGUGGCGAGUGGCGGACGGGUGAGGAAUACAUCCGAAUCUACUUUUUCGUGGGGGAUAACGUAGGGACACUUACGCUAAUACCGCAUACGACCUACGGGUGAAAGCAGGGGAUCUUCGGACCUUGCGCGAUUGAAUGAGCCGAUGUCGGAUUAGCUAGUUGGCGGGGUAAAGGCCCACCAAGGCGACGAUCCGGAGCUGGUCUGAGAGGAGGAUCAGGCACACUGGAAGUGAGACACGGUCAAGAGUACUACGGGAGGCAGCAGUGGGGAAUAGGGGACAAGGGGCGAAAGUCUGAUACAGCGAUGCGGCGUGUGAGAAGAAGGUCUUGGGAUUGGAAAGCACGUUAAGUGGGGAGGAAGAGCAGUAAGUUAAGACCUUGCUGGUGUGACGGUACCGACAGAAGAAGCACCGGCUAACUUCGUG
Molecule: ribosomal RNA, 492 nt
Filed under: uncultured bacterium
Lineage: Bacteria
Description: partial 16S ribosomal RNA
Rfam family: Bacterial small subunit ribosomal RNA
Source: RNAcentral